RNAcentral lists this ribosomal RNA (468 nucleotides) under uncultured bacterium. RNAcentral describes it as "partial 16S ribosomal RNA". It matches the Rfam family "Bacterial small subunit ribosomal RNA", at positions 28 to 507 of the family's 1533-position model. The record is from RNAcentral.
GACGAACGCUGGCGGCGUGCUUAACACAUGCAAGUCGAACGGAAAGGCCCUGCUUUUGUGGGGUGCUCGAGUGGCGAACGGGUGAGUAACACGUGAGUAACCUGCCCUUGACUUUGGGAUAACUUCAGGAAACUGGGGCUAAUACCGGAUAGGAGCUCCUGCUGCAUGGUGGGGGUUGGAAAGUUUCGGCGGUUGGGGAUGGACUCGCGGCUUAUCAGCUUGUUGGUGGGGUAGUGGCCUACCAAGGCUUUGACGGGUAGCCGGCCUGAGAGGGUGACCGGGCACAUGGGGACUGAGGUACGGCCCAGACUCCUACGGGAGGCAGCAGUGGGGAAUAUUGCACAAUGGGCGGAAGCCUGAUGCAGCGACGCCGGGUGCGGGAUGACGGCCUUCGGGGUGUAAACCGCUUUCGCCUGUGACGAAGCGUGAGUGACGGUAAUGGGUAAAGAAGCACCGGCUAACUACGUG